UAGGGAAUAUUGGACAAUGGGUGAGAGCCUGAUCCAGCCAUGCCGCGUGCAGGAAGAAGGCGUUAUGCGUUGUAAACUGCUUUUUGCCAGGGGAUAAAAAGACCGUGCGCGGUUAAUUGAAGGUACCUGGUGAAUAAGCCACGGCUAACUACGUGCCAGCAGCCGCGGUAAUACGUAGGUGGCAAGCGUUGUCCGGAUUUAUUGGGUUUAAAGGGUGCGUAGGUGGCCCUGUAAGUCAGUGGUGAAAUAUCUCAGCUUAACUGAGAGGGUGCCAUUGAUACUGCAGGGCUUGAGUACAGAUGAGGUAGGCGGAAUUGACGGUGUAGCGGUGAAAUGCAUAGAUAUCGUCAAGAACACCGAUAGCGAAGGCAGCUUACCAAGCUGUAACUGACACUGAGGCACGAAAGUGUGGGGAUCAAACAGGAUUAGAUACCCCUGUAGUCCCUGAGCGGGCUGGCAAGGCGCAU
RNAcentral lists this ribosomal RNA (467 nucleotides) under uncultured bacterium. RNAcentral's name for it is "bacterial SSU rRNA". It matches the Rfam family "Bacterial small subunit ribosomal RNA", at positions 355 to 825 of the family's 1533-position model. The record is from RNAcentral.